Dalotia coriaria is the source of this 587-nucleotide long non-coding RNA. RefSeq lists it as uncharacterized. The transcript has 3 exons. NCBI's taxonomy places the organism in Eukaryota, Metazoa, Arthropoda, Insecta, Coleoptera, Staphylinidae. The record is from RefSeq and is a predicted model, not a curated record.
GCGACGCCCGUUGCUCGCAUCGCGCCGCCGUCGACGCUAACCCUCAGCAUACACACGUGUAUGAGUGAACUAUAUGUGCGUGUGCGUUGAUGGUAAUCGACGACCUACAAUACGCGAAGAACUAAAACAAAACUUGGAUUUAACCGCGCGCAGCGUAAAUAUUUAUCGGCAAACAACUUGCAAAUAUUCAUACUGCCACUGUGAAGACUUUCAGAAAAACCCGGAACUGCCAGCAGGAGGUGAAAAAUAAUGGGAGCGGCCUUGGUAGAAGUCGCUAUUUGAACUGACGAGGGUUUCCAAAGGCAGGAAAAACACCAGGCAAUGAUGGUUCGUGUUGCAACGUCCGUCAAUCAUGUCGUUCUGUUGUUGAUGGUCAUCAAUCUCAUCGCAAUCACGAGUACGACUAAAUUUUAUCAUGGAUUCCAAUCAGAUAAUAUAGAAUUUCGAGCAGAAAGAAGUAUUGAUGAUGCCAAACCAAGUGAAACCAGAAAAAAUGUUGAGAAGACAAAUGGAAAAGUCUUUGACAAGCAGGGAAGUGAAAAGAACAGUCGAUCAAAUGUCUUCCACUGAGAACUCAACAAUCGUCU